Molecule: ribosomal RNA, 440 nt
Filed under: uncultured bacterium
Lineage: Bacteria
Description: partial 16S ribosomal RNA
Rfam family: Bacterial small subunit ribosomal RNA
Source: RNAcentral
CCUACGGGAGGCAGCAGUGGUGGAUAUUGCACAAUGGGGGAAACCCUGAUGCAGCGACGCCGCGUGAGUGAAGAAGUAUUUCGGUAUGUAAAGCUCUAUCAGCAGGGAAGAAAAUGACAGUACCUGACCAAGAAGCCCCGGCUCACUGCGUGCCAGCAGCCGCGGUAAUACGUCGGGGGCAAGCGUUAUCCGGUUUUACUGGGUGUAAAGGGAGCGUAGACGGUUAUGUAAGGCUGGAGUGAAAUCCCGGGGGCCAACCCCGGGACUGCUUUGGAAACUGUGUAACUGGAGUACAGGAGGGGCAUGCGGAAUGCCUGGUGUAGCGGUGAAAGGCGUAGAUAUCAGGAGGAACACCGGCGGCGAAGGCAGCCUACUGGACUGAAACUGACGUUGAGGCUCGAAAGCGUGGGGAGCAAACAGGAUUAGAUACCCGUGUAGUC